RNAcentral lists this transfer RNA (75 nucleotides) under Corynebacterium variabile. Its description in RNAcentral is "tRNA_Val_GAC". It matches the Rfam family "tRNA". Rfam says of the family: Transfer RNA (tRNA) molecules are approximately 80 nucleotides in length. The record is from RNAcentral. RNAcentral also lists the same sequence under 6 other names. Lineage: Bacteria; Bacillati; Actinomycetota; Actinomycetes; Mycobacteriales; Corynebacteriaceae.
GCGCGUUUAGCUCAGCGGGAGAGCGCUUCCCUGACACGGAAGAGGUCACUGGUUCGAUCCCAGUAUCGCGCACGA